UAGAGUUUGAUCCUGGCUCAGGAUGAACGCUGGCGGCGUGCCUAGUACAUGCAAGUCGAACGCACAGCGAUAGGUGCUUGCACCUAUCAAGUGAGUGGCGAACGGGUGAGUAACACGUGGACAACCUGCCUCAAGGCUGGGGAUAACAUUUGGAAACAGAUGCUAAUACCGAAUAAAACUUAGUAUCGCAUGAUAUAAAGUUAAAAGGCGCUACGGCGUCACCUAGAGAUGGAUCCGCGGUGCAUUAGUUAGUUGGUGAGGUAAAGGCUCACCAAGACAAUGAUGCAUAGCCGAGUUGAGAGACUGAUCGGCCACAUUGGGACUGAGACACGGCCCAAACUCCUACGGGAGGCUGCAGUAGGGAAUCUUCCACAAUGGGCGCAAGCCUGAUGGAGCAACGCCGCGUGUGUGAUGAAGGCUUUCGGGUCGUAAAGCACUGUUGUAUGGGAAGAACAGCUAGAAUAGGGAAUGAUUUUAGUGUGACGGUGCCAUACCAGAAAGGGACGGCUAAAUACGUGCCAGCAGCCGCGGUAAUACGUACGUCCCGAGCGUUAUCCGGAUUUAUUGGGCGUAAAGCGAGCGCAGACGGUUGUUUAAGUCUGAUGUGAAAGCCCGGAGCUCAACUCCGGAAAGGCAUUGGAAACUGGACAACUUGAGUGCAGUAGAGGUAAGUGGAACUCCAUGUGUAGCGGUGGAAUGCGUAGAUAUAUGGAAGAACACCAGCGGCGAAGGCGGCUUACUGGACUGUAACUGACGUUGAGGCUCGAAAGUGUGGGUAGCAAACAGGAUUAGAUACCCUGGUAGUCCACACCGUAAACGAUGAACACUAGGUGUUUAGGAGGUUUCCGCCUCUUAGUGCCGAAGCUAACGCAUUAAGUGUUCCCGCCUGGGGAGUACGACCGCAAGGUUGAAACUCAAAGGGAAUUGACGGGGNACCCCCACANGCGG
Molecule: ribosomal RNA, 948 nt
Filed under: Leuconostoc kimchii
Lineage: Bacteria; Bacillati; Bacillota; Bacilli; Lactobacillales; Lactobacillaceae
Description: bacterial SSU rRNA
Rfam family: Bacterial small subunit ribosomal RNA
Source: RNAcentral